RNAcentral lists this ribosomal RNA (497 nucleotides) under uncultured bacterium. Its description in RNAcentral is "partial 16S ribosomal RNA". It matches the Rfam family "Bacterial small subunit ribosomal RNA", at positions 28 to 507 of the family's 1533-position model. The record is from RNAcentral.
GAUGAACGCUGGCGGCGUGCCUAAUACAUGCAAGUCGAGCGAACAGACGAGGAGCUUGCUCCUUUGACGUUAGCGGCGGACGGGUGAGUAACACGUAGGUAACCUACCUAUAAGACUGGGAUAACUUCGGGAAACCGGAGCUAAUACCGGAUAAUAUUUCGAACCGCAUGGUUCAAUAGUGAAAGAUGGCUUUGCUAUCACUUAUAGAUGGACCUGCGCCGUAUUAGCUAGUUGGUAAGGUAACGGCUUACCAAGGCAACGAUACGUAGCCGACCUGAGAGGGUGAUCGGCCAAACUGGAACUGAGACACGGUCCAGACUCCUACGGGAGGCAGCAGUAGGGAAUCUUCCGCAAUGGGCGAAAGCCUGACGGAGCAACGCCGCGUGAGUGAUGAAGGUCUUCGGAUCGUAAAACUCUGUUAUUAGGGAAGAACAAACGUGUAAGUAACUGUGCACGUCUUGACGGUACCUAAUCAGAAAGCCACGGCUAACUACGUG